This 397-nucleotide long non-coding RNA is filed under the name Setaria italica (foxtail millet). Its description in RNAcentral is "long non-coding RNA (SITA_LNC002895)". The record is from RNAcentral. Lineage: Eukaryota; Viridiplantae; Streptophyta; Magnoliopsida; Poales; Poaceae.
UCACACCAUCGUCGUCAUCCUCCCUGAAACAACUAGCUCAGGCGACAGGCGCCAUGACCUCAAAGGUCAGCGGAGCACAGUCGGAGGCCAGCAGCCCAGCAUCAAGUGGCGAGCUCUCGACCUCUUCGAGCACGCUUGAAGCCGCUCUCCUCUCCUUCGCCAACCAAAGCUCCACCCCCAAAUCAAGAGAAAUGGGUUUCUCUCUUACUGGGCGGAGUUUUUUUUUUGUCUUUUCCUUUAUUUCCUUUUAUUGCUCAAAUGAAGCUUUCCUCCCGAAGGCUCAAGCUGUGUGUGGCGACGAGGAAGAGCACACCUGGUAAACUUGAUUAGCAUGUGAGAAUGCGAGCGAGCGUUGCAGGAAAUUUUUCCCUGAGCUCGGAGCACAUUUUUUCUUUCC